RNAcentral lists this ribosomal RNA (1324 nucleotides) under uncultured bacterium. RNAcentral describes it as "bacterial SSU rRNA". It matches the Rfam family "Bacterial small subunit ribosomal RNA", at positions 27 to 1381 of the family's 1533-position model. The record is from RNAcentral.
GGACGAACGCUGGCGGCGUGCUUAACACAUGCAAGUCGAACGGUGACGAGGAGCUUGCUCCUCCGAUCAGUGGCGAACGGGUGAGUAACACGUGAGUAACCUGCCCCAGACUCUGGAAUAACAGUUGGAAACAGCUGCUAAUACCGGAUACGAGACGGAGAGGCAUCUCUACCGUCUGGAAAGUUUUUCGGUCUGGGAUGGACUCGCGGCCUAUCAGCUUGUUGGUAAGGUAAUGGCCCACCAAGGCGAGGAUCGGUAGCUGGUCUGAGAGGAUGAUCAGCCACACUGGGAUUGAGAACGGCCCAGACUCCUACGGGAGGCAGCAGUGAGGAAUAUUGCACAAUGGGGGAAACCCUGAUGCAGCAACGCCGCGUGGGUGAAGAAGGCUUUCGAGUUGUAAAGCCCUUUACUGUGGGAUGAGAAAAAGGACAGUACCACAGCAAAAAGUCUCGGCUAACUACGUGCCAGCAGCCGCGGUGAGACGUAGGAGGCAAGCGUUAUCCGGAUUUACUGGGCGUAAAGGGCAAGUAGGCGGUUGUUCAAGUUGGGCGUGACAGAUCUCGGCUUAACUGAGAGAGGUCGUCCAAUACUGAGCGACUAGAGGGCAGGAGAGGAAAGUGGAACUCCCGAUGUAGCGGUGGAAUGCUCAGAUAUCGGGAAGAACACCAGUGGCGAAGGCGGCUUUCUGGCCUGUACCUGACGCUGAGAGGCGAAAGCUAGGGGAGCGAACGGGCUUAGAUACCCCGGUAGUCCUAGCUGUAAACGUUGGAUACUAGGUAAUGGUGGUCAAGGCCAUCAGUGCCGAAGCAAACGCGUUAAGUAUCCCGCCUGGGGACUACGACCGCAAGGUUAAAACUCAAAGGAAUUGACGGGGACCCGCACAAGCAGCGGAGCGUGUGGUUUAAUUCGAUGCUACACGAAGAACCUUACCUGGGCUUGACAUGUACGUCGUAGGGGACCGAAAGGCGACCGAUCCUUCGGGAAGCGUACACAGGUGCUGCAUGGCUGUCGUCAGCUCGUGCCGUGAGGUGUUCGGUUAAGUCCGACAACGAGCGCAACCCUUGUUGCCAGUUAUACUUUACUGGCGAGACUGCUGGCAUAUAACCAGAGGAAGGUGGGGAUGACGUCAAGUCAGUAUGGCCUUUAUGUCCAGGGCUACACACACGCUACAAUGGCCGGUACAGAGGGUAGCCAAGCCGCGAGGCGGAGCCAAUCCCAGAAAGCCGGUCUCAGUUCAGAUUGCAGGCUGCAACCCGCCUGCAUGAAGUCGGAGUUGCUAGUAACCGCAGGUCAGCCAUACUGCGGUGAAUACGUUCCCGGGUCU